GCGUGCCUAAUACAUGCAAGUCGAGCGAAUGGAUUAAGAGCUUGCUCUUAUGAAGUCAGCGGCGGACGGGUGAGUAACACGUGGGUAACCUGCCCAUAAGAGUGGGAUAACUCCGGGAAACCGGGGCUAAUACCGGAUAACAUUAUGAACUGCAUGGUUCGAAAUUGAAAGGCGGCUUCGGCUGUCACUUAUGGAUGGACCCGCGUCGCAUUAGCUAGUUGGUGAGGUAACGGCUCACCAAGGCAACGAUGCGUAGCCGACCUGAGAGGGUGAUCGGCCACACUGGGACUGAGACACGGCCCAGACUCCUACGGGAGGCAGCAGUAGGGAAUCUUCCGCAAUGGACGAAAGUCUGACGGAGCAACGCCGCGUGAGUGAUGAAGGCUUCACGGGUUCGUAAAACUCCUGCUGUUAGGGAAGAACAAGUGACUAGUUGAAUAAGCUGGCACCUUGACGGU
RNAcentral lists this ribosomal RNA (458 nucleotides) under marine sediment bacterium ISA-7154. RNAcentral's name for it is "bacterial SSU rRNA". It matches the Rfam family "Bacterial small subunit ribosomal RNA", at positions 42 to 476 of the family's 1533-position model. The record is from RNAcentral.